RNAcentral lists this long non-coding RNA (1119 nucleotides) under Solanum tuberosum (potato). RNAcentral describes it as "long non-coding RNA (STUB_LNC001838)". Lineage: Eukaryota; Viridiplantae; Streptophyta; Magnoliopsida; Solanales; Solanaceae. The record is from RNAcentral.
AACCUUUGAAGUUAAGAGGGUUUAGAUUUGGCAACAUGAAGGAGAAAAGUCGGGGAGCUUGCAUCUGUGAACAAAAUCUGAUCUGUUUUCAGAAUUAAAUUUCAAAAUUCUUCUUAAGUUUAGCUGUUCUAAAUUAUUCCUAAUCAUCAUGGGGUCCUUCCAAACACAAAUCAUUACCCUUGAAUUCAUAAUUCCAAUUCAAGGAGAGUUAGUUAGAAGUCAAGUGAAGUUAAGAGUUAAACUUAGAAAUGAAGUAAGUCAAAGCAAGUUUUCUUUCAAAGUUGUUCAAGAGUCUUUAGUGAAUGUUUUAACUUCAUUUUUAAGACUCAAGUUUCAAGUCAAGUAAGAGGGUAUAGAGUUUCAAGUCAAGUAAAGGGUAUAGAGCUUCAAGUCAAGUAAAGGGUAUAGAGUUGCAAGCCAAGUGAAGAGUCUCAAGUUUCAAGUUAAGUCAAGAGCAUAAAGUCGAGUCCAUUUCUCCAAAGUUAUUAGGGAACUAUGUAUUUCCCAAAGAAGUUUCUAAAUGUUUUUACAUUUAAGUAAGAAAGGAACAUCAAUUCCAAGAGAGCCUUUGGGCUAGAUUUUGAGUAAUUAUCUCAAAUUAAAGAAAGAUGUGUUUAAAGAACUUAUGAGCCAAAGUAUAUUUUUGGGAGUAGUCUUGAGCACCGAGUUGGGGGCACGAGUUCAUAUUAACUCAACUCUCCAUAAGAACCAUGCGCCAACAUGGGAUUUAACGGGUUAUACUUUUUAGAUGAUCACGUAAAGUUAAGCUAGUGGAUCCACUUAGUAAAGUUAGCUUCCUAUAUCGAUGGCAAGGUAUAGGAUGGUCCUUGGGCAACGUGAGGUAAAACGUUGUACCACCACUAGGGCUCAUAGUGGUGGUUGUCGGUUAAAGAAUCUCCCACUAAAGUUAUAUUACUUUAUAUAAGUAAAGUUGAGUUUGUUAUUGCCUUAAUCAUUAAAGAACUAAGUUGUUUACAAUGUUUUCAAAGCUAUAUAUAUUGCAUGUGUCUUAUGGCUUAUAUAUUGAGUUCAAUUAUUCAUGAGUCGUACAGACCCAAGGUAAGUGUUCUCCUGUAUUCCUUUCAAGCUUAAGUCGUGGUUUAGCUUUCCAGCUCGCAU